Molecule: ribosomal RNA, 397 nt
Filed under: uncultured bacterium
Lineage: Bacteria
Description: partial 16S ribosomal RNA
Rfam family: Bacterial small subunit ribosomal RNA
Source: RNAcentral
CCUACGGGAGGCAGCAGUGAGGAAUAUUGGUCAAUGGUCGGGAGACUGAACCAGCCAAGCCGCGUGUGGGAGGAAGGUAUAGAGUAUCGUAAACCUCUUCUGUCAGGGAACAAAGGCGGGGACGAGUCCCCGGAUGAGUGUACGUGAAGAACAAGCAUCGGCUAACUCCGUGCCAUCAGCCGCGGUAAGACGGAGGAGGAGAGCGUUAACCGGAUUUAUUUGGGUUAAAGGGUGCGCAGGCGGGCUGGUCAGUCAGAUGUCAAAUCCCGGGGCGCAACCCCGGCACCGCAUUUGAAACUGGCAGUCUCGAGUUGGGUAGAGGUAUGCAGAAGGCGCGGUGUAGCGGUGAAAUGCGUAGAGAUCGGGAAGAAUUCCGGUGGCGAAGGCAGCAUGCGGG